This 450-nucleotide ribosomal RNA is filed under the name uncultured bacterium. RNAcentral describes it as "bacterial SSU rRNA". It matches the Rfam family "Bacterial small subunit ribosomal RNA", at positions 28 to 478 of the family's 1533-position model. The record is from RNAcentral.
GAUGAACGCUGGCGGCGUGCUUAACACAUGCAAGUCGAGCGAAGCAGUUAAGUUGAUUUCUUCGGAUUGAUUCUUAACUGACUGAGCGGCGGACGGGUGAGUAACGCGUGGGUGACCUGCCCCAUACCGGGGGAUAACAGCUGGAAACGGCUGCUAAUACCGCAUAAGCGCACAGAGCUGCAUGGCUCGGUGUGAAAAACUCCGGUGGUAUGGGAUGGGCCCGCGUCUGAUUAGGCAGUUGGCGGGGUAACGGCCCACCAAACCGACGAUCAGUAGCCGGCCUGAGAGGGCGACCGGCCACAUUGGGACUGAGACACGGCCCAAACUCCUACGGGAGGCAGCAGUGGGGAAUAUUGCACAAUGGGGGAAACCCUGAUGCAGCGACGCCGCGUGAGCGAAGAAGUAUUUCGGUAUGUAAAGCUCUAUCAGCAGGGAAGAUAAUGACGGUAC